Molecule: long non-coding RNA, 4033 nt
Organism: Phyllopteryx taeniolatus (common seadragon)
Lineage: Eukaryota; Metazoa; Chordata; Actinopteri; Syngnathiformes; Syngnathidae
Exons: 4
Source: RefSeq, a predicted model, not a curated record
CAAUUUAAAGUGCCUCUGAUUAAACCCAAAUAAAGUUUGGCUGUUCUAGUCAGCUUUUUCUUUUCUUUUAUUCCUAACAGAAGUCUGAAGAUUUUGUGCUAACAUUGACUGCAAUUUGGAACUGUUCACAAUUCCCUCCACCUUGACUCGAAGGCCCCAGUUCCAGCUGAAGACAAACUGCCCUAAAUCAUGAUGCUGCCACCGCAAUGCUUCACUGUAGAACAGCAGGCCUACUUCCGCCAACAGGUCCCCCACUUGCACCCUUCAAUUAUCUUUAAGAGGAGCACCUGGAUCACAAGACCGGUCUGUGUCAAGCUGGGCCUUCUGGCGCAGCGAGGGUGUGUCCUUGGAGAUGUGUCGAGCUGGGCCUUCUGGCGCAGCAAGGGUGUGUCCUUGGAGAUGCUCCCGGCGGAGUGAAAAGUUGGUGGCAGAAAGUUGCCUGCUCAGACCAUGUCUAAAUCUUGGCACAAGGUACUGUAGACUGCUGGUGUAACGCGAUUUUGGUGACUUUGAUUGGGGCAAGGCAGCACGUUGGCCGACUGGUUAGCACGUCUGCCUCACAGUUCUGAGGACUGGGGUUCAAAUUCCGGCCUCGGCUGUGUGUAGUUUGCAUGUCCUCCCUGUGCCUGCAUGGGUUUUCUCCGGGCACUCGGCUUUCCUCCCACAUCCCAAAAACAUGCGUAGUAGGUUGAUUGAAGACUCUAAAUUGCCUGUAGGUGUGAAUGGUUGUUUGUUUCUAUGUGCCCUGCGAUUGGCUGGCGACCAGUUCAGGGUGUACCCCGCCUCUCGCCCGAAGAUAGCUGGGAUAGGCUCCAGCAUGCCCGCGACCCUAGUGAGGAGAAGCGGCUCAGAAAAUGGAUGGAUGGAUGGAUGAUCAUUAAAAAUAGAAUAUGCAUGAUAAAAAUGAUCAAUAAUUUGUUGUGAACAAUUCAACCAAUUAAAAUUCAUUUUGAUUUGGUAUCAUUUAGCCACUUAUUACACCACUGUAGUUAGUAGAGCAGUGUGUGGAACCUGCCAGUGAUGUACAACCAAUGAAGAGAAAUAUUAUAAAAUGAAGAAACACAUUUUAAAGCUUAUCAUUAUACUGGUAUGUGUGCAAAUGUUUGGCAACUUGUAAGAUCUCGGCGUUUAAUUAUUCUGCUACAUUUUCAUGAUGACUGUGUGAUUCUGAUGACGACACCAAAGCCACUUUAUCGUGAUAUUGACCUCUAAUCCCACUGUGAUUUAACUGACAGCUAAAUUGUCUCGGUGUGACAAUACAAUUUGGGGCAGUGAUUAUGGAGACGAGUCAAAAGGUUUGACGUGUUGUCCACCUGCGCUCUGACUUUUUUACAGCCUUCUCUGCAUGCAGGGUAAUUAUCUUGAAUUCAUUUUCCAUCGGCAACCAAAUUACACCCACACUUCUGUUAUAGUCCUUUUCUAGGUGAAAAAAUAUUGCGGUCAUCUGCGCUACCUUCUGCUAUCCAUCGUAGUACUAUGGGUCUGUAACAUAUGCAUCUGAAGUCAUCUUGUUAACUCUCAGACGUUCUUUGUCUUCUUUUUCACUUUGCUUUUGGUCCAUAGACUGGAUAGAACAAGCUGAAUCAAAGCCUUCUACUUUGAUAUGCUAAAUACGCUAGUAAAGGUAAUAGAAAAUAGUAAACUGUUUCAUCCCCAACACAGAAUAAAGUCCCUUAGAGACUUGGUAAGUUGUUUCUCAUUAAAAUAAAAACUGAGUGUGUUUUGGUUUUUAUGUUUUACUGUAAACAUCUUUUAACAUUGCUUGCUUAGUGAAUUCAGAUUUUAUGAUUGCACACCUCUCUUUACAAUAAAAUGAUCACACAACUCCUAAAAGAGGAUAAAAUAUUAAUUUAUGAGGCGUUCUCCUUUUUCUGAGUCAGGCGAGCCCAUGGCAGCAUCCUCAAAUGAUGAGUUCAAACCUGGCACGGUUUAUUUGGUACUUUGAUCUUUAAGCUAUUUUCAUGUCUAGUUGGCUGCUUUUAAAAGCAUUAAGGCAGAAAGUUUGCUUUUUUUUCUAAGAUAGCAGCCCAUAAAUAGUCUGGUGGGUUGUUUUGGUAAAUAGAGAUCCAGGCACAACCUUCAGUGACUCGAUGCUGGCAGGAUUCCACAGCCAGAGCCUCGUUCAUCUCAAAGUGUCCAUCUGGGACGGAGCGGGUGACAGGAGGGAGGGGGAGAGGAUAAAUUGUUGAGUUGUUCAGCGUGGGGUGUUUAGAAUGACUUUGCACAGAAAGGAGGAAACAAAGCACACUGGGAACCCAGAGUGAUGCAGACAAGAUGCUGCCAAUGAAUGGAGGGGAGUGAAGGAUGCACAGUGACUCCACUUAUAAUCCACAGAUAUUAUGUGAGAGGUGAGGGCAAGGUUACACAUGAACCACACUCAAAUUUAGUGGUGAAUUAUUAUAUAAAAACAUGCACUCAAAAUUACUUUAAGGAUAUUAAAAAAAAAAUUCAGUUUCCAGGAAACAAGCAUGUUCUUGUCUCACGUCAUAAAUAGUACCUUUAUAGUAGCUUCAGGAACCGUCUGAGGCCUCUUUGACCAAACAAUUCCUUGAUUGAUUUCAACUAGUGUUAACUCAUUUACUGCAAACUGGUUUCAAAGCAGUGGAACGGUGGACGACUGGUUAGAGCGUCUGCCUCACAAUUAUGAGGACCGGAGUUCAAUCCCUGGCCUCGCUUGUGUGGAGUUUGCGUCUUCUCCCUGUGCCUGCGUGGGUUUUCUCCGGGCACUCCGGUUUCCUCCCACAUCCCAAAAACAUGCAUGGUAGGUUAAUUGAUAGGUUAAUAAUAACUCUAAAUUGCCCGUAGGUGUGAAUGUGAGUGCGACUGGUUUGUAUGUGCCCUGCGAUUGGCUGGCAACCAGUUCAGGAUGUACCCUGCCUCCUGCCCGAUGAUAGCUGGGAUAGGCUCCAGCACGCCCGCGACCCUAGUGAGGAGAAGCGGCUCAGAAAAUGGAUGGCUGGAUGGAGGCGUUACCGAUCAAUGCAAACUAGAACUAGUAGACAUUGAAACAGCUUCUUCCCUCUUGCAAUCAACUUCUUAAACACCUAACCUACAAUUCCAUUACAACAGGCUGGCAAUUUUUUUACUUGAGUUUGUUGUCACACUUCUGUUGGGCCAAUUAUAUAUUACUCGUGCACUCACUGUAGUUGUCUCUCCACGCUGCACUAUUUGCAUAUCUGUUGUUGACCAAUACUGGCCACUCAUGCCAGAGUAGCAUCUGCUCCAUUUGCACACUGAUUGAGGAGUAUCUGCAACAUUUGCACAAUCAACAUUGUCCCAGAUUAUCGCACUACUCGACACUUUAAACCGCAUACACUCCUUGAAGUCUCGGCGCCCUUUGCACAAUGGUCAUUGCACUGGACUAUUGCAAUAUUAGUCAUUCGAACUGCUCUAAGUGCGAGAGGACUCUGCAUCUUUUUGCACAAUUGUCAAAAAAUAAAUAAAAAAUCAUAAUAAUGUUACCAUUAUUACCAGCAUUACCAGAUAACUAGCAAACCUUUACUGCUCAGUGACUGUUUUUUUUUGGUCAAUGUCUCUAUGUCUCAAAAGUGUUCUCUGUCAAUUGACUGUCUGUUGUCGUACUAGAGCGGCUCCAACUACCGGAGACAAAUUCCUUGUGUGUUUUUUUUGGACAUACUUGGCAAAUAAAGAUGAUUCUGAUUCUGAUUCUGAUGGGUGGUUUCAAAGCAGAGUUCCCCAUAUUGCAAGGCGUUGUGUCAUAUACUGCCCUGCAGUUCCAUUAUUGGAGCCUGGAGGCCGCUUUGCAUCCUCUCUCUCCCUCCCUCCCCUCUCUCUUUUCAGCACCUGUCUCCAAUCAGCCUCAUCACCACCGGUAUAAAAGCCUGCCUGUUCCCAGAAAUCCUCGCCAAAGUAUUGCAGCUACUUCCAGCGAGCACCCCUGUGUUCCUGAUCCACGUCAUUCCUGCCACCAAGCCAGCCGCCUAUUCUGUCCACUGCCUGCCACCACUCCACGCCGCCAACACAUCCAGGACCUCCUCCAUAACCUUUCCUCAAUAAACUGUUCAUCAUUUUA